Sodiomyces alkalinus F11 is the source of this 115-nucleotide non-coding RNA. Lineage: Eukaryota; Fungi; Ascomycota; Sordariomycetes; Glomerellales; Plectosphaerellaceae. The record is from the annotation of a RefSeq genome assembly.
GGCAAGGUGACCGAGUGGUUAAGGUGAUGGACUCAAGUUUACUCUUGUACACUUUCCCUCCAAGAGGGCUUUUCCAUUGUGGCAACACGCAUGGGUUCGAAUCCCAUCCUUGUCA